Molecule: transfer RNA, 37 nt
Filed under: Pentaceraster cumingi
Lineage: Eukaryota; Metazoa; Echinodermata; Asteroidea; Valvatida; Oreasteridae
Description: partial tRNA-Phe
Source: RNAcentral
UGCUAAGAAGGGGGGUCAAACCCCUAUUUAAGCGUUU